RNAcentral lists this long non-coding RNA (250 nucleotides) under Elaeis guineensis (African oil palm). RNAcentral's name for it is "long non-coding RNA (EGUI_LNC007900)". Lineage: Eukaryota; Viridiplantae; Streptophyta; Magnoliopsida; Arecales; Arecaceae. The record is from RNAcentral.
GAGGUGUAAUUGAUUGCAGUAAACUUACUGUAGGAAUAGGAUGUGCAUCAAUAUGGGAUCUAUCGACCUCGGUAGCUGAGGAGCAGUCCUAUGUAAAUCAUAAAGCGGAGUCCCAAAGCCUAUAAUCAUGGCAUGUGAAAGAUAGAAAGGUGUUUCUAUUGGGUUUCAUAUUAGACUCAAGCCAAUUAAUUUUAGCAUAUGACAAGAAUCAAAUUUGACGACUUAUCCUUAACCUAUAUCUUAUUGGGAC